Molecule: ribosomal RNA, 689 nt
Filed under: Bacillus mycoides
Lineage: Bacteria; Bacillati; Bacillota; Bacilli; Caryophanales; Bacillaceae
Description: bacterial SSU rRNA
Rfam family: Bacterial small subunit ribosomal RNA
Source: RNAcentral
GCUCUUAUGAAGUUAGCGGCGGACGGGUGAGUAACACGUGGGUAACCUACCCAUAAGACUGGGAUAACUCCGGGAAACCGGGGCUAAUACCGGAUAAUAUUUUGAACUGCAUAGUUCGAAAUUGAAAGGCGGCUUCGGCUGUCACUUAUGGAUGGACCCGCGUCGCAUUAGCUAGUUGGUGAGGUAACGGCUCACCAAGGCAACGAUGCGUAGCCGACCUGAGAGGGUGAUCGGCCACACUGGGACUGAGACACGGCCCAGACUCCUACGGGAGGCAGCAGUAGGGAAUCUUCCGCAAUGGACGAAAGUCUGACGGAGCAACGCCGCGUGAGUGAUGAAGGCUUUCGGGUCGUAAAACUCUGUUGUUAGGGAAGAACAAGUGCUAGUUGAAUAAGCUGGCACCUUGACGGUACCUAACCAGAAAGCCACGGCUAACUACGUGCCAGCAGCCGCGGUAAUACGUAGGUGGCAAGCGUUAUCCGGAAUUAUUGGGCGUAAAGCGCGCGCAGGUGGUUUCUUAAGUCUGAUGUGAAAGCCCACGGCUCAACCGUGGAGGGUCAUUGGAAACUGGGAGACUUGAGUGCAGAAGAGGAAAGUGGAAUUCCAUGUGUAGCGGUGAAAUGCGUAGAGAUAUGGAGGAACACCAGUGGCGAAGGCGACUUUCUGGUCUGUAACUGACACUGAGGCGC